ACGGGUGAGUAAUAUAUCGGAACGUGCCCAGUAGUGGGGGAUAGCCCGGCGAAAGCCGGAUUAAUACCGCAUACGACCUACGGGUGAAAGCGGGGGAUCGCAAGACCUCGCGCUAUUGGAGCGGCCGAUAUCAGAUUAGCUUGUUGGUGGGGUAAAAGCCUACCAAGGCGACGAUCUGUAGCUGGUCUGAGAGGACGACCAGCCACACUGGGACUGAGACACGGCCCAGACUCCUACGGGAGGCAGCAGUGGGGAAUUUUGGACAAUGGGCGCAAGCCUGAUCCAGCCAUGCCGCGUGCGGGAAGAAGGCCUUCGGGUUGUAAACCGCUUUUGUCAGGGAAGAAACGGCUCUUACUAAUACUAGGGGCUAAUGACGGUACCUGAAGAAUAAGCACCGGCUAACUACGUGCCAGCAGCCGCGGUAAUACGUAGGGUGCAAGCGUUAAUCGGAAUUACUGGGCGUAAAGCGUGCGCAGGCGGCUUUGCAAGACAGAUGUGAAAUCCCCGGGCUCAACCUGGGAACUGCAUUUGUGACUGCAUGGCUAGAGUGCGGCAGAGGGGGAUGGAAUUCCGCGUGUAGCA
Molecule: ribosomal RNA, 582 nt
Filed under: uncultured Rhizobacter sp.
Lineage: Bacteria; Pseudomonadati; Pseudomonadota; Betaproteobacteria; Burkholderiales; Sphaerotilaceae
Description: bacterial SSU rRNA
Rfam family: Bacterial small subunit ribosomal RNA
Source: RNAcentral